CAGUAGCCGCGGGAAUACGUAGGUGGCAAGCGUUGUCCGGAAUUAUUGGGCGUAAAGGGCUCGCAGGCGGUUUCUUAAGUCUGAUGUGAAAGCCCCCGGCUCAACCGGGGAGGGUCAUUGGAAACUGGGAAACUUGAGUGCAGAAGAGGAGAGUGGAAUUCCACGUGUAGCGGUGAAAUGCGUAGAGACGUGGAGGAACACCAGUGGCGAAGGCGACUCUCUGGUCUGUAACUGACGCUGAGGAGCGAAAGCGUGGGGAGUGAACAGGAUUAGAUACCCCGGUAGUCCCUGUCUCUUAUAC
This 301-nucleotide ribosomal RNA is filed under the name uncultured bacterium. RNAcentral's name for it is "partial 16S ribosomal RNA". It matches the Rfam family "Bacterial small subunit ribosomal RNA", at positions 509 to 807 of the family's 1533-position model. The record is from RNAcentral.